RNAcentral lists this non-coding RNA (22 nucleotides) under Arabidopsis thaliana (thale cress). Lineage: Eukaryota; Viridiplantae; Streptophyta; Magnoliopsida; Brassicales; Brassicaceae. The record is from RNAcentral.
UUAGCUCAAGAAAACGCGCCUC